Molecule: unclassified non-coding RNA, 215 nt
Filed under: Rhynchospora rubra
Lineage: Eukaryota; Viridiplantae; Streptophyta; Magnoliopsida; Poales; Cyperaceae
Source: RNAcentral
GCCCUACCACGCUCGGUCGCCCUGCGGCCGAUGCGGAACCUGGCCCUCCGAGCCGUCGCGUGCGGUGGGCCGAAGUGAGCGGCCGUCGUAUUGGGCCGGGAGCGAGUGGUGGGCAUCUGCGCACGCUGCCCGAACCCAAUGCCGGCAGAGGGCCUUGGCCGACCCCCCAACGAGGAGCCGCAUCUCAGCUUCCCGCUGCGAGGUUCCUUCGGACC